GUGGCAUUAGCUCAGAUGGAUAGAGCAACGGCCUUCUAAGCCGUCGGUCGAGGGUUCGAAUCCUGCAUGCCGCGCCA
RNAcentral lists this transfer RNA (77 nucleotides) under Enterobacter sp. RNAcentral describes it as "tRNA-Arg". It matches the Rfam family "tRNA". Rfam says of the family: Transfer RNA (tRNA) molecules are approximately 80 nucleotides in length. Their secondary structure includes four short double-helical elements and three loops (D, anti-codon, and T loops). The record is from RNAcentral. Lineage: Bacteria; Pseudomonadati; Pseudomonadota; Gammaproteobacteria; Enterobacterales; Enterobacteriaceae. RNAcentral also lists the same sequence under 2 other names.